Molecule: ribosomal RNA, 497 nt
Filed under: uncultured bacterium
Lineage: Bacteria
Description: partial 16S ribosomal RNA
Rfam family: Bacterial small subunit ribosomal RNA
Source: RNAcentral
GAUGAACGCUGGCGGCGUGCCUAAUACAUGCAAGUCGAGCGAACGGACGAGAAGCUUGCUUCUCUGAUGUUAGCGGCGGACGGGCGAGUAACACGUGGAUAACCUACCUAUAAGACUGGGAUAACUUCGGGAAACCGGGGAUAAUAACGGAUAAUAUUUUGAACCGCAUGGUUCAAAAGUGAAAGACGGUCUUGCCGUCACUUAUAGAUGGAUCCGCGCUGCAUUAGCUAGUUGGUAAGGUAACGGCUUACCAAGGCAACGAUGCAUAGCCGACCUGAGAGGAUGAUCGGCCACACUGGAACUGAGACACGGUCCAGACUCCUACGGGAGGCAGCAGUAGGGAAUCUUCCGCAAUGGGCGAAAGCCUGACGGAGCAACGCCGCGUGAGUGAUGAAGGUCUUCGGGUCGUAAAGCUCUGUUAUUAGGGAAGAACAUAUGUGUAAGUAACUGUGCACAUCUUGACGGUACCUAAUGAGAAAGCCACGGCUAACUACGUG